This 253-nucleotide ribosomal RNA is filed under the name uncultured bacterium. RNAcentral describes it as "partial 16S ribosomal RNA". It matches the Rfam family "Bacterial small subunit ribosomal RNA", at positions 524 to 776 of the family's 1533-position model. The record is from RNAcentral.
UACUGAAGGUGCAAGCGUUAAUCGGAAUCACUGGGCGUAAAGCGCUCGUAGGUGGCUUUGUAAGUCAGAUGUGAAAGCCCACGGCUCAACCGUGGAAUUGCAUUUGAUACUGCAUCGCUAGAGUAUAGGAGAGGGAAGUGGAAUUUCUGGUGUAGGAGUGAAAUCUGUAGAGAUCAGAAGGAACACCGGUGGCGAAGGCGACUUCCUGGACUAUUACUGACACUGAGGAGCGAAAGCGUGGGGAGCAAACAGG